This 425-nucleotide ribosomal RNA is filed under the name uncultured bacterium. Its description in RNAcentral is "bacterial SSU rRNA". It matches the Rfam family "Bacterial small subunit ribosomal RNA", at positions 354 to 796 of the family's 1533-position model. The record is from RNAcentral.
GUGGGGAAUCUUGCGCAAUGGGCGAAAGCCUGACGCAGCCAUGCCGCGUGAAUGAUGAAGGUCUUAGGAUUGUAAAAUUCUUUCACCGGGGACGAUAAUGACGGUACCCGGAGAAGAAGCUCCGGCUAACUUCGUGCCAGCAGCCGCGGUAAUACGAAGGGGGCUAGCGUUGCUCGGAAUUACUGGGCGUAAAGGGCGCGUAGGCGGACAGCUUAGUCAGAGGUGAAAGCCCAGGGCUCAACCUUGGAAUUGCCUUUGAUACUGGCUGUCUUGAGUGUGGGAGAGGUGAGUGGAACUCCGAGUGUAGAGGUGAAAUUCGUAGAUAUUCGGAAGAACACCAGUGGCGAAGGCGACUCACUGGCCCAAUACUGACGCUGAGGCGCGAAAGCGUGGGGAGCAAACAGGAUUAGAUACCCGGGUAGUCC